UUGUUGUAGAGAGGUGUUGUGGUGUGUUGGGAGACAGAGAGAGGUGUUGUGGUGUGUUGGGAGACAGGGAGAGGUGUUGGGAGACAGAGAGAGGUGUUGUGGAGUGUUGGGAGACAGGGAGAGGUGUUGUGGUGUUUUGGGAGACAGAGAGAGGUGUUGUGGAUUGUUGGGAGACAGAGAGAGGUGUUAUGGUGUGUUGGGAGACAGGGAGAGGUGUUGUGGUGUGUUUUGAGACAGAUAGGUUUGUUGUGGUGUCUUGGGAGACAUAGAGAGGUUUUGUUGUGUGUUGGGAGACAUAGAGAGGUGUUGUGGUGUGUUUGGAGACAGAGAGGUGUUGUGGUGUGUUGUGAGACAUAGAGAGGUGUUGUGGUGUGUUGGGAUACAUAGAGAUUUCUUGUGUGUGUUUGGAGACAUAGAGAGGUGUUGUUGUGUGUUUGGAGACAUAGAGAGGUGUUGUGGUGUGUUGGGAGACAGAGAAAGGUGUUGUUGUGUGUUUGGAGACAUAGAGAGGUGUUUUAGUGUGUUGGGAGACAGAGAAAGGUGUUGUGGUGUUUUGGGAGACAGAGAUAUGUGUUGUGGUGUGUUGGGAGACAGGGAGAGAUGUUGUGGUGUGUUUUGAUGUGGAGAGAGCUGUUGUGGUGUGUUGGGAGACAUAGAGAGGUGUUGUGGAUUGUUGGGAGACAGAUAGAGGUGUUGUGUUGUGUUGGGAGACAGGGAGAGGUGUUGUGGUGUGUUUUUAUGUGGAGAGAGGUGUUGUGGUGUGUUGUGAGACAUUGAGAGGUGUUGUGGUGUGUUGGGAGACAGAGAGAGGUCUUGUGGUGUGUUGGGAGACAUAGAGAGGUGUUGUUGUGUGUUUGGAUACAUAGAGAUUUGUUGUGGUGUGUUUGGAGACAUAGAGAGGUGUUGUGGUGUGUUGGGAGACAGAGAGUGGUGUUGUGGUGUGUUUUGAUAUGGAGAGAGGUGUUGUGGUGUGUUGGGAGACAGAGAGAGGUGUUGUGGAUUGUUGGGAGACAUAGAGAGGUGUUGUGGAUUGUUGGGAGCCAUAGAGAGGUGUUGUGGUGUGUUGGGAGACAGGGAGAGGUGUUGUGGUGUGUUUUGAGAGAGAGAGGUUUGUUGUGGUGUGUUUUGAGACAGAGAGGUUUGUUGUGGUGUCUUGGGAGACAUAGAGAGGUUUUGUUGUGUGUUGGGAGACAUAGAGAG
RNAcentral lists this long non-coding RNA (1200 nucleotides) under Salmo salar (Atlantic salmon). RNAcentral's name for it is "lncRNA (ENSSSAG00000092678.1, ENSSSAG00000093009.1)". The record is from RNAcentral. Lineage: Eukaryota; Metazoa; Chordata; Actinopteri; Salmoniformes; Salmonidae.